AGUCGAGCGAGGUAGCAAUACCUAGCGGCAGACGGGUGAGUAACAUGUGGGAAUCUGCCUUUUGGUUCGGAACAACACGGGGAAACCUGUGCUAAUACCGGAUAAGCCCUUACGGGGAAAGUUUUAAUGCCAAAAGAUGAGCCCGCACUUGAUUAGCUAGUUGGUAAGGUAAUGGCUUACCAAGGCGAUAAUCAAUAGCUGAUUUGAGAGGAUGAUCAGCCACACUGGGACUGAGAUACGGCCCAGACUCC
Molecule: ribosomal RNA, 251 nt
Filed under: uncultured bacterium
Lineage: Bacteria
Description: partial 16S ribosomal RNA
Rfam family: Bacterial small subunit ribosomal RNA
Source: RNAcentral